This 731-nucleotide ribosomal RNA is filed under the name uncultured bacterium. RNAcentral describes it as "bacterial SSU rRNA". It matches the Rfam family "Bacterial small subunit ribosomal RNA", at positions 94 to 820 of the family's 1533-position model. The record is from RNAcentral.
AGCGGCGGACGGGUGAGUAAUGCUUAGGAAUCUGCCUAUUAGUGGGGGACAACAUUCCGAAAGGGAUGCUAAUACCGCAUACGUCCUACGGGAGAAAGCAGGGGAUCUUCGGACCUUGCGCUAAUAGAUGAGCCUAAGUCGGAUUAGCUAGUUGGUGGGGUAAAGGCCUACCAAGGCGACGAUUUGUAGCGGGUCUGAGAGGAUGAUCCGCCACACUGGGACUGAGACACGGCCCAGACUCCUACGGGAGGCAGCAGUGGGGAAUAUUGGACAAUGGGGGGAACCCUGAUCCAGCCAUGCCGCGUGUGUGAAGAAGGCCUUAUGGUUGUAAAGCACUUUAAGCGAGGAGGAGGCUACUGAGACUAAUACUCUUGGAUAGUGGACGUUACUCGCAGAAUAAGCACCGGCUAACUCUGUGCCAGCAGCCGCGGUAAUACAGAGGGUGCGAGCGUUAAUCGGAUUUACUGGGCGUAAAGCGUGCGUAGGCGGCUUUUUAAGUCGGAUGUGAAAUCCCCGAGCUUAACUUGGGAAUUGCAUUCGAUACUGGGAAGCUAGAGUAUGGGAGAGGAUGGUAGAAUUCCAGGUGUAGCGGUGAAAUGCGUAGAGAUCUGGAGGAAUACCGAUGGCGAAGGCAGCCAUCUGGCCUAAUACUGACGCUGAGGUACGAAAGCAUGGGGAGCAAACAGGAUUAGAUACCCUGGUAGUCCAUGCCGUANACGAUGUCUACUAGC